RNAcentral lists this ribosomal RNA (275 nucleotides) under uncultured bacterium. RNAcentral describes it as "partial 16S ribosomal RNA". It matches the Rfam family "Bacterial small subunit ribosomal RNA", at positions 399 to 691 of the family's 1533-position model. The record is from RNAcentral.
GCGUGAGUGAUGAAGGCCUUCGGGUUGUAAAGCUCUUUCGCACGCGACGAUGAUGACGGUAGCGUGAGAAGAAGCCCCGGCUAACUUCGUGCCAGCAGCCGCGGUAAUACGAAGGGGGCUAGCGUUGUUCGGAAUUACUGGGCGUAAAGGGCGCGUAGGCGGCUUAUCAAGUCAGGCGUGAAAGCCCCGGGCUUAACCUGGGAACUGCGCUUGAGACUGGUAGGCUAGAGUACCGGAGAGGUGGGUGGAAUUCCCAGUGUAGAGGUGAAAUUCGU